CUUUAUGUUAGUUUCUCUCAUAUAAUUAUCAUCAUGUAUGUAUUCCUCUUUUCUCACUCUGUAAUAUCUCUGCUCUCAUCCUCAUAGCUGAAGGUGUUCAUUUAAAGAUCGAUCCGAGUGAAUCGACUGACUGAAUAUGACAGUAACUGAUGUAGACGAGCAGAUUCCUCCUCAAGUGUGCUGAGAUUGAUCCGCGUCUCUCCGUGAGCGAUGGCCAUGUGUUCGGCAGGAGGAGGGUCUGUUCCACUGACACCAGCAGAGAUUGAAAGAUCUGCACAAUAGGGGCGCAGCUGCAGAAAUGAGAACUGGACUGAAGACUGGCUCCAUGAUUUCUAGGAACACAAGCUGUAUCAGCAAACAAUUUUAUGGUGAAACGUGACCUGCACUUGUUUUCGUGAGAUUCACCCAGUGAACUUUCAUCUGAAGACAUCCAGGUGGAAGAACAUCCCCUUAAUAUGCUUUAUUUUAAAGCUUUCAUCACUGCAAGAAAAAGGGCACAUUCUGUCCAUUCCCAGGCAUUGGAUAUGCCUCGAGUGUCCCCAGCCGUCAGGAAGAGGGCCAUUGGCAUGCUGCAGGCAAAGCAUGUCAGGUGCCAACAUAGCCAGACAUUAUGGAAUAAAUCAUUCCACUGCGUCCCAACUGGCUUCAGCAGAGCUGAUGACCUUCCAAGAUCCGAUCAACCUCCAGUUACCAAACCAGAGCAGACCAACAAAUCAGAACGCUUCAUCUCUGAGGUUUCAGUCUUCCUUACUGCGGCAGAAACCAUGCGGUCAGGGUUUAGCUGGUUAGUCCCUGAUGCUGUAAAACUAUGGGGGGAAAACUGAUGGACAUGCAACAUUGCAGAGUGUUCUGUUAUCAAAUACAGACACUAAUACAGACACCCAGCAUGACUAUCUGAGAGAUGCAUGCUUUGUUUGUGUUUGUGUGAUGUAUGACAGAACUUUUAAUGCAUCUCCUACAUUUUCAUCAGUGAAUUGCCAAACAUAUUAAAUUAGCGAUGAUGAAUAUGCUGUAAAUGAUCAAGCUGACAGAGAGAGGUGUUUGUAAUUCUGUAAAACAGAUUCAUUCUGCCUCAUUAGUGCUGUUUGCUUAGCAACCAUCACUGCUACUGUUGCUCAGUGAUUUGUCCUACAGACUGAAUGAUAUCUCAAGUCAUGUGACUUCUUGUAGGCAACCCCCGGGAACACCCUAGCAACGCCCUGGAUUCUGGAAUCAUGGUGGUGAGUUUCACACACACAUUUUCUUCAGAAAAUUAAAAAAAUCACCAAUGAGCAUUGAGGCAAAUGAUUUACGUGCUUAUAUUUAUUAUGUUUCUGAUGUUAUGUGCCUCACAAGUGUUUCCCAUCUUGGCUUUUUGAAUUAUACAUUUAAUCUAAAAGUAUCUUUGAGUACACAGUUUACCAUAAUCAUAGCACUUGUUCCAACUGUCCCUGAGGUAAAAUUAUAAACGAGUGUCCACUCCAGAGCCGCUCUGAGAUGCAGAGAUCUGAGAGAAAGUACACAGAUACAUUUAUGUAUGUUUUCAUGCAUUAUUUAUAUAUUACAGCAGAGAGUAAAGAUGGGCACAAUGUGAAGGUGUUACAUGAUGGAGAAGCUUCUAUCUAUCUAUCUAUCUAUCUAUCUAUCUAUCUAUCUAUCUAUCUAUCUAUCUAUCUA
Long non-coding RNA from Megalobrama amblycephala (Wuchang bream), 1656 nucleotides. RefSeq lists it as uncharacterized. Lineage: Eukaryota; Metazoa; Chordata; Actinopteri; Cypriniformes; Xenocyprididae. The transcript has 3 exons. The record is from RefSeq and is a predicted model, not a curated record.